Mesocricetus auratus (golden hamster) is the source of this 1136-nucleotide long non-coding RNA. RefSeq lists it as uncharacterized. Lineage: Eukaryota; Metazoa; Chordata; Mammalia; Rodentia; Cricetidae. The record is from RefSeq and is a predicted model, not a curated record. The transcript has 3 exons.
AAAGGCGUGCGCCACCACCGCCCAGCUGAUCUUGAUGGCUUUAACAGGUGUAGGGACACCCGCCCUAAGUAUGGGUGGUACCUUCUGGUAGUAGCCCGAAUGGAAGGAGUUGGGAGAGGAGAGUAGCAAAUUAAUUCAUGCACCCUGUUGCCACCGCCGCUGUCACAGCAGUGAUUGUUCGCUGCUCUUAGGAAUCAGCCUUUCGGGUUUCCAAUGUGAACUGAAGACCAGCAGUUUUCUGACACCACGCAGGCCUUCUGCCUUGCGGCGGGACUCCGGAGGUACCCAGCCUCGUGGACAGAACGACUACCAAGUUUUCAGCUUCCCUGUGAGAGACAGUCAUUAUUGGACUGCCCUGGCAGCAUCUUACACAGUUCCGGAAAGCAGCCGACCUGGGGCUUUGUCAUGCCACGUAAUUAAUGUGUGAUGGUGCUCAGCUCGGGAUGAUUUAGUGACUGGAGAAAAAGUAAGAUAUGAGGCAGAGGCUUCCACGGGGGUGCCAAGUGGAGAGUCUGGAUGGAGUUUGUGGUCUUUCUAGGGCACUGUGGGUUCAAGAGAAGUGCGUGGCUGGCUGGUUUGUGUAAUUUAUUCCAGGAACAACUCUGUGACCAGGGCCUUGCUAAGUGCCCUUCUUGAUCCUCGGUCCUCCCAGGGUGAAGCUCCAACUAAGGCUGUCUGGAUACAAAACAGACCCCUCCACCCUGGAGAUUAGGACAGAACCGGAAGAAUGUGACCAUGGCUCAUCAGAUGGCGAUGGGACAAAGGACUUGAUCCAGCUUACGUAAACCACUGCCGACCCUGAGACUAUCUAUACGCUUCUAGGUAAUGCCGUCUGGUUUUCUCCACGACUGAGUUAUCUGCCAUCAGAUGGGAUUUUCUCUCACCUUCUGGUCAAGGCUCGAUACCUUGAGUAGUGAGCACUGAGAUGCUCUCCCUCCCAGGGUAGGGUGUGCCUCUACUCUGAAGUGCCCUGGGUGAGUGAGCCAUACAGGAGGGCAGCGGUAUUGUCUCGUAAAAAUCCCAAGGUCUGCUCCUCUCUGCCCACGGUGUUUUCUCAGCGUGACUUUCUCCAGCAGCCUCCAGUUCUAAAAAUAAAGCUUAAAAUGCGUGGAACGGUAGCCACAUCUUACCAAAAG